CCUACGGGAGGCUGCAGUGAGGAAUAUUGGUCAAUGGGCGCGAGCAUGACCCAGCCAAGUAGCGUGAAGGAUGACUGCCCUACGGGUUGUAAACUUCUUUUAUAAAGGAGUAAAGUGAGGCACGUGUGCCUUUUUGUAUGUACUUUAUGAAUAAGGAUCGGCUAACUCCGUGCCAGCAGCCGCGGUAUUACGGAGGAUCCGAGCGUUAUCCGGAUAUAUUGGGUUUAAAGGGAGCGUAGAUGGGUUGUUAAGUCAGUUGUGAAAGUUUGCGGCUCAACCGUAAAAUUGCAAUUGAUACUGGCAGUCUUGAGUACAGUUGAGGUAGGCGGAAUUCGUGGUGUAGCGGUGAAAUGCUUAGAUAUCACGAAGAACUCCGAUUGCGAAGGCAGCUUACUAAACUGCCACUGACAUUGAUGCUCGAAAGUGUGGGUAUCAAACAGGAUUAGAUACCCGAGUAGUC
RNAcentral lists this ribosomal RNA (460 nucleotides) under uncultured bacterium. Its description in RNAcentral is "partial 16S ribosomal RNA". It matches the Rfam family "Bacterial small subunit ribosomal RNA", at positions 338 to 795 of the family's 1533-position model. The record is from RNAcentral.